RNAcentral lists this transfer RNA (59 nucleotides) under Ictidomys tridecemlineatus (thirteen-lined ground squirrel). Its description in RNAcentral is "Spermophilus tridecemlineatus (thirteen-lined ground squirrel) tRNA". It matches the Rfam family "tRNA", at positions 7 to 64 of the family's 71-position model. From Rfam's summary of the family: Transfer RNA (tRNA) molecules are approximately 80 nucleotides in length. Their secondary structure includes four short double-helical elements and three loops (D, anti-codon, and T loops). The record is from Rfam by way of RNAcentral. Lineage: Eukaryota; Metazoa; Chordata; Mammalia; Rodentia; Sciuridae.
AUAGCUCAGUGGUAGAGCACUUGCCUAGUAUGCACAAUGCCCUAGGUUCAAUCCCUAGU